UGGAAAGGGGUUUAGUGGAACAACAUCUGCUUUGCAUGCAGAAGGUCGCUGGUUCAAUAUCUGGCAUCUCCAU
This is a non-coding RNA of Podarcis lilfordi (Lilford's wall lizard), 73 nucleotides long. NCBI's taxonomy places the organism in Eukaryota, Metazoa, Chordata, Lepidosauria, Squamata, Lacertidae. The record is from the annotation of a GenBank genome assembly.